Molecule: ribosomal RNA, 253 nt
Filed under: uncultured bacterium
Lineage: Bacteria
Description: partial 16S ribosomal RNA
Rfam family: Bacterial small subunit ribosomal RNA
Source: RNAcentral
UACGUAGGUGGCAAGCGUUGUCCGGAAUUACUGGGUGUAAAGGGCGUGUAGGCGGAGCUGCAAGUCAGAUGUGAAAUCUCCGGGCUUAACCCGGAAACUGCAUUUGAAACUGCUGAGCUAGAGUACAGAAGGGGCAACCGGAAUUCCCAGUGUAGCGGUGAAAUGCGUAGAUAUUGGGAAGAACACCUGAGGCGAAGGCGGGUUGCUGGGCUGAUACUGACGCUGAGGCGCGAAAGCCAGGGGAGCAAACGGG